AGCGAACGCUGGCGGCAGGCCUAACACAUGCAAGUCGAACGAACCUUUCGGGGUUAGUGGCGGACGGGUGAGUAACACGUGGGAACGUGCCUUUAGGUUCGGAAUAACUCAGAGAAACUUGUGCUAAUACCGAAUGUGCCCUUCGGGGGAAAGAUUUAUCGCCUUUAGAGCGGCCCGCGUCUGAUUAGCUAGUUGGUUGAGGUAAUGGCUCACCAAGGCGACGAUCAGUAGCUGGUCUGAGAGGAUGAUCAGCCACAUUGGGACUGAGACACGGCCCAAAAUCCUACGGGAGGGAGGAGUGGGGAAUCUUGCGCAAUGGGCGAAAGCAUGACGGAGCCAUGCCGCGUGAAUGAUGAAGGUAUUAGGAUUGUAAAAUUCUUUCAACGGGGACGAUAAUGACGGUACCCGGAGAAGAAGCCCCGGCUAACUUCGUG
This 434-nucleotide ribosomal RNA is filed under the name uncultured bacterium. Its description in RNAcentral is "partial 16S ribosomal RNA". It matches the Rfam family "Bacterial small subunit ribosomal RNA", at positions 29 to 507 of the family's 1533-position model. The record is from RNAcentral.